Molecule: non-coding RNA, 1191 nt
Organism: Gasterosteus aculeatus aculeatus (three-spined stickleback)
Lineage: Eukaryota; Metazoa; Chordata; Actinopteri; Perciformes; Gasterosteidae
Source: RefSeq, a predicted model, not a curated record
CAGGGACAUGUUGUCCUCGCGUCUCGUCCCCGCUGAAGAGAAUCCUUCAUUACAAAACGAGAGACACCCAGGAGACAUUUUGCGAUCCCUUGUAGUGUAGCAGCUAAUGCUAACAUGCUAGGAGACAGCUCCCUGCUCGAGCGGAGGGGAAAUGAGGCUGUUAGCAUUAGCCUGCUAGCGAACGGAGACGACAAGUCCCCCGCAUCUGAAAACGUUACCCCGCCGAGCAGUGACACCCGAGCCGCCGCGAAGCGACGACACAUACGUCCGAUACCACGCGUAACAUUAACCGCGCUGUGUUGAGAUUAUCUGGUUGUUUGAUAGCAGGUUAGCAUAGCUAGCUCCAGCGAGCUGUGACAAUGGAAUGCUACGAGGCUACCAGUUAGCCCGCAGCUAGCUUCGUCCUCCCAACACAAAACACACAAACGUCAGACAACGUGCGGCUCCCGGUUCCGGUUCUACGGGGCGACGCGUUUUGGUUACGGUCAAUCUGUAAAAGCCUCUCGCACAUCGUGACCAACAUACCUCCGCUACUUCCCCGGAGUCCGAGCUCUGCUCCGGGGCUCCGCAGUCUGAGCUCCUCCGGGCCUCCGGGGCAUGAAGAACCGAGUGCACCCAGACGUCAGAACCGGGAGAAUCCCGUCAAACGCCCCCCGACAUGUCCACAAACGUCACCGAUAAAACACAGCGAGGUGGCCGAGAGUCAACCCGCCAGGCGCGGGGUUAAAUGCGGCCAGCUAGCCCUUCUGCUGCGUCCGAGAGGAGGCACCAUCCGCCGGGGACCACAAGACAGAGGCGGCCGGAGUCAGACGGAGGAUCCGCUGGGUUUCAUCCGCAUCGCUGCCGGUGUAGUAAAGGGGGGCGGGGGGGAGAGAGAGAGAGAGAGAGAGAGAGAGAGAGAGAGAGAGACCUGAGGUUGACGCUCCGGAGGUAAGAGGCGAGCUCGGCUCCUCUCCUCCUCCUCGGGAGACCCAGGACGUGGUGCGGACCCGCUGGAGAGAAGGGGGGCCCUCGGGGACCCGGUCUGUGGAAUGAGCGCUUCUCUAAAGGGACGCUGGCGGAGGACCCGGGCUUCUGGUCUCCGUGGACUGGUCCUGAUGAUGAUGAUAUUAUAGGAACAUGGUGAUAAUCAGAGGCAACGCUAAAACAAUAGUAUGUAUCAAAAUCAAUAAAUAAAACGACAACAGUUUU